GAUGAACGCUGGCGGCGUGCCUAAUACAUGCAAGUCGAGCGAACGGACGAGAAGCUUGCUUUUCUGAUGUUAGCGGCGGACGGGUGAGUAACACGUGGAUAACCUACCUAUAAGACUGGGAUAACUUCGGGAAACCGGAGAUAAUACCGGAUAAUAUUUUGAACCGCAUGGUUCAAAAGUGAAAGACGGUCUUGCUGUCACUUAUAGAUGGAUCCGCGCUGCAUUAGCUAGUUGGUAAGGUAACGGCUUACCAAGGCAACGAUGCAUAGCCGACCUGAGAGGGUGAUCGGCCACACUGGAACUGAGACACGGUCCAGACUCCUACGGGAGGCAGCAGUAGGGAAUCUUCCGCAAUGGGCGAAAGCCUGACGGAGCAACGCCGCGUGAGUGAUGAAGGUCUUCGGAUCGUAAAACUCUGUUAUUAGGGAAGAACAUAUGUGUAAGUAACUGUGCACAUCUUGACGGUACCUAAUCAGAAAGCCACGGCUAACUACGUG
Molecule: ribosomal RNA, 497 nt
Filed under: uncultured bacterium
Lineage: Bacteria
Description: partial 16S ribosomal RNA
Rfam family: Bacterial small subunit ribosomal RNA
Source: RNAcentral